This is a non-coding RNA of Physcomitrium patens, 3140 nucleotides long. The record is from RefSeq and is a predicted model, not a curated record. NCBI's taxonomy places the organism in Eukaryota, Viridiplantae, Streptophyta, Bryopsida, Funariales, Funariaceae.
GGCAUUGCGAAACCUGUCACUCUCGCAAUUCUAGAAUUUUUAUUUUAUAGCCGAUCUCUAGUGUUCUCUUCUGUGCCGCGACUUGCACUAUCUGCUGCUGCUUCUUCUUCUUCUUCUGAUUCUGCUUCUUCGUCCACCCGCUCUUCCUCGAUUGGUUAGCAAGCCUGCCACGGAAAAUUAUGCAUCAUCAUUGUUCGACUUCACUGUCCUCUUCAGGUACAGAUUCAAAGUUGGAAAAUCGGGACAUUGUGCUUGACGAAGAGGAAAGACCGUUGCUCACAGCAACAAGCGGCAGAGAUGGAACAAUACAUGAUGCAAUGUCGAUUUCGAAUUAUGUCCCCUGUAAGAGUAAGUCCGCAAUGCGCGGUCCAACGGAAGCGGAAAUCGAAGUAGAUCCUGGGGAGCGGCGUCUCAAUGAGCUUGGUUACAAGCAGGAGCUUCGCCGUGAAAUGACACUUUUCAAAUGCCUGGCGAUUGCGUUUUCUACCAUGUCGUUGUUCACUGGGAUAGUUCCACUGUUCGGCAGCAGCUUCAUGUAUGCAGGGCCAGCUGGAAUUGUUUGGGGAUGGGUUGUGGUCACUUUCUUCACUUGGUUCGUGGGCUUAGCAAUGGCGGAAAUCUGCAGUAGUUUCCCAACAACAGGAUCUCUGUAUUUUUGGGCUGCUCACUUAUCUGGACCCAAAUGGGGACCACUUGCAUCAUGGAUCUGUGCCUGGCUUGAAGCAAUUGGUUUGAUUGCGGGCAUAGGCACCCAGGCAUAUGCAGGAACUCAAACCUUGCAGAACAUAAUUCUCCUCUCAACAGGGACUAACAAGAAUGGAGGAUACUUUGCACCUCGAAGUGUAUUUUUAGCAAUCUACAUCGGCCUCUGUCUCACAUGGGCUGUGCUCAAUAGCUUUGCUCUGAAUCUCAUUGCUCUUAUUGAUAUUGUUUCCAUGUGGUGGCAGGUUGUGGGUGGAACUCUUAUUAUCAUCAUAGUGCCUUUUAUAGCGCCAAGUACUCAACCUGCUUCAUAUGUUUUCACAAAUAUCGAAAUAUCGUCUGCUGUUACAGGCAUUACAAGUCCCGUGUAUAGUGUUCUUUUGUCGUGGCUCGUGAGCCAGUAUUCACUGUAUGGGUAUGAUGCUGCUGCUCAUUUGACGGAGGAGACUAAAAAUGCAGAUAUAAAUGGUCCUCUUGCAAUUCUUUCCAGCAUUGGGAUGAUUUCAGUCUUCGGCUGGGCUUUCAUCCUGGCUCUCAUUUUUAGUAUUCAGGAUCCACAUUAUUUAUAUGACGUUACAAAUGAAACAGCUGGUCGGUUUGUUCCAGCUCAAAUAUUGUACGAUGCAUUUUAUGGGCGAUAUCAAAGUGGCACAGGAGCCAUUAUUCUGCUGAUUAUCAUGUGGGCAUCAUUUUUCUUUGCUGGUCUUUCUAUCACUACAAGUGCUGCUCGAGUGGUGUAUGCGUUAUCUCGAGAUGGAGGGAUGCCCUAUUCAAGGCUACUCCGUAAAAUCGAUCGUAGAGUUCAAGUUCCGGUUAACGCAGUCUGGUUCUGCUGUGCAUUUGCAAUUCUUCUGGGCAUUCCGAUUUUGAAACUCGAUGUGGUAUUUACAGCCAUUACCUCUAUAUGCACUAUAGGCUGGGUGGGUGGAUAUGCUGUACCUAUUUUCGCUCGGAUGAUCAUCAAGUCGGAAAACUUCAAGCCAGGUCCCUUUCAUCUGGGUCAAGCAAGUCGGUGGGUCUGUUUGAUUGCUUUCAUGUGGAUCUGCUACACUUGCGUUAUCUUUCUACUUCCUACUUCCUAUCCCAUAAGAUUAGAAACAUUUAAUUACGCACCUGUUGCUCUUGGCGUUGUCUUAUCCAUUAUUAUGGGCUGGUGGAUGCUGGAUGCACGGCGCUGGUUCCAAGGUCCUGUACGAGAAAUCUUCAGUUGAAGGGAUGCUGUGGUCAAUCCUUAAUGCCUACAUUGAUAUGCACUCAUGCAUCCAGUCGGCUAUUCUCCAAGUUUCGUGGGGCAAUUUAGGCGGUGUCUCGUUUGCACGCAUUUUUUCAGGAUAGACGUGUAGUCUAAAUGCUUAGAUACAUUGAGCACCCAUUCUGUUGAACUAGCAAAUUAGGAGUCCUAGAUUAACGGUGGCAACAACUAGUUGCAGAGUAUUUAUUUGACCGACAUUCAAUAAUCAGUCAAUAAUUAUGUAUCAGUCGCCCUCGCUUGGCACUGGCCUGGGAGAUAUCAUUUCUAUCGAAGGGUCUCCACUUAACAAACGCUUUCGCACCUGCAAGUACGCACAGACGAGAAGAGAAGAGAGGAGCAGGUGGUGGAGGAAGAGGAGGCGCAUGGUCAGAGAGUGUCGACGUUUCACAAACGACAAUAUCCUGAUAUGCUAAGUAGGCAGAUCACCAGCACAUCAACCAAAUAUUACAAGUAUGUAAAUGUUAGUUGUGUGAACCUCGGGGAGUUGCUGUUUGAACACAAUCUGUAAGCGCGCAUCAAGCGUGUUGUUCAACACAAUACGGCCGUCCCUGGUCGUCACAACUAGGCCGCCCAGACUACAAAACCCACGAGGUGCAGUGUGAGUGAGCUAAUAUGUUGUGGCGAAGGCUGCUGCAGCACGGCCCGCUAUUAGCGACGAGAAUAUCAGCGAUCAACUUACGCAGUUAGUAAAGAUAUGGUACCAUGUGGAACCAUGCACUCCCUGUUGCGGAGGUCCGGGAAGAAAAAGCUUGUCGUCCACAGCGACUUUGGGCAAGGCCACAUUGGCUUUACUGGCAUAGAUUUCACAGGCUGAUUCAAUCACUGUCUCGACUAGGUGCAGGUCCUCCUUUCGACACCGAAUCAAUGCAGCGGGCUCUUUCAGCCGCAGUAAACCCUGCACUUAACCAGCAUCACGUAUCCUUCGAAGAAGAUCUUCGACAGCGUGGAGGUAUCGGAGUCUUUGUGCAUUCAAGUGUGUUGAAUGUUCUCUACACAACACGUCAGCUUCAAUUGUAUUACACUUUCGUCAUUCUCUUUACAAUUUCUGAAUUCCUAUUAUGACUUGGACUCGAUCCCAUCAGGUAUUAGACGUGCAUUAAAGCAAUGCAGUGUACAUUUUUUUGCGCUGAACCACAAGGCGCUCCUUACGAUCGUAUUCAGCACAGAUUUUAGUUUUCUCUGCUUC